RNAcentral lists this ribosomal RNA (422 nucleotides) under uncultured bacterium. RNAcentral's name for it is "bacterial SSU rRNA". It matches the Rfam family "Bacterial small subunit ribosomal RNA", at positions 359 to 773 of the family's 1533-position model. The record is from RNAcentral.
GAAUUUUGGACAAUGGGGGCAACCCUGAUCCCGCCAUCCCGCGUGUGCGCUGAAGGCCCUCGGGUUGUAAAGCACUUUUGGCAGGGAAGAAAAGGCUCUGGCUAAUACCUGCAGCUGCUGACGGUACCUGCCGAAGAAGACACGGCUAACUACGUGCCAGCAGCCGCGGUAAUACGUAGGGUGCAAGCGUUAAUCGGAAUUACUGGGCGUAAAGCGUGCGCAGGCGGUUCGGCAAGAAGGAUGUGAAAUCCCAGGGCUUAACCUUGGAACUGCAUUCUUAACUGCCGGGCUAGAGUAUGUCAGAGGGGGGUAGAAUUCCGCGUGUAGCAGUGAAAUGCGUAGAGAUGCGGAGGAAUACCGAUGGCGAAGGCAGCCCCCUGGGAUAAUACUGACGCUCAUGCACGAAAGCGUGGGGAGCAAAC